This 253-nucleotide ribosomal RNA is filed under the name uncultured bacterium. Its description in RNAcentral is "partial 16S ribosomal RNA". It matches the Rfam family "Bacterial small subunit ribosomal RNA", at positions 524 to 776 of the family's 1533-position model. The record is from RNAcentral.
UACGGAGGGCGCAAGCGUUGUUCGGAAUUACUGGGCGUAAAGCGCGUGUAGGCGGCUAAGCAAGUCGGUUGUGAAAGCCCAGGGCCCAACCCUGGAAUUGCGUCCGAAACUGCUUGGCUAGAGUCCUGGAGAGGAAGGCAGAAUUCCCAGUGUAGGGGUGAAAUCCGUAGAUACUGGGAGGAAUACCCGUAGCGAAGGCGGCCUUCUGGACAGUGACUGACGCUCAGACGCGAAAGCGUGGGGAGCAAACAGG